This 465-nucleotide ribosomal RNA is filed under the name uncultured bacterium. Its description in RNAcentral is "partial 16S ribosomal RNA". It matches the Rfam family "Bacterial small subunit ribosomal RNA", at positions 28 to 507 of the family's 1533-position model. The record is from RNAcentral.
GACGAACGCUGGCGGCGUGCUUAACACAUGCAAGUCGUACGGUAAGGCCCUUUCGGGGGUACCCGAGUGGCGAACGGGUGAGUAACACGUGAGUAACCUGCCCACAACUUUGGGAUAACGCUAGGAAACUGGUGCUAAUACUGGAUAUGUGCUCCUGCUGCAUGGUGGGGGUUGGAAAGCUCCGGCGGUUGUGGAUGGACUCGCGGCCUAUCAGCUUGUUGGUGGGGUAGUGGCCUACCAAGGCGGCGACGGGUAGCCGGCCUGAGAGGGUGACCGGCCACAUUGGGACUGAGAUACGGCCCAGACGCCUACGGGAGGCAGCAGUGGGGAAUAUUGCACAAUGGGCGCAAGCCUGAUGCAGCAACGCCGCGUGCGGGAUGACGGCCUUCGGGUUGUAAACCGCUUUCAGCAGGGACGAAGCUUUUUGUGACGGUACCUGCAGAAGAAGCACCGGCUAACUACGUG